AGAGUUUGAUCCUGGCUCAGAACGUACGCUGGCGGCACGCCUAACACAUGCAAGUCGAACGAAGUAGCAAUACUUAGUGGCAGACGGGUGAGUAACAUGUGGGUAUCUACCCUUUGGCCUGGAAUAACACGAGGAAACUUGUGCUAAUACCGGAUAAGUCUUUACGGAGAAAGCUUUAUGCACCAUUGGAUGAGCCCGCACUUGAUUAGUUUGUUGGUAGGGUAAUGGCCUACCAAGACUAUGAUCAAUAGCUGAUUUGAGAGGAUGAUCAGCCACAUUGGGACUGAGACACGGCCCAAACUCCUACGGGAGGCAGCAGUGGGGAAUCUUGCACAAUGGAGGAAACUCUGAUGCAGCGAUGCCGCGUGAGUGAAGAAGGCCUUUGGGUUGUAAAGCUCUUUCGUCGGGGAAGAAAAUGACUGUACCCGAAUAAGAAGGUCCGGCUAACUUCGUGCCAGCAGCCGCGGUAAUACGAAGGGACCUAGCGUAGUUCGGAAUUACUGGGCUUAAAGAGUUCGUAGGUGGUUGAAAAAGUUGGUGGUGAAAUCCCAGAGCUUAACUCUGGAACUGCCAUCAAAACUUUUCAGCUAGAGUAUGAUAGAGGAAAGCAGAAUUUCUAGUGUAGAGGUGAAAUUCGUAGAUAUUAGAAAGAAUACCAAUUGCGAAGGCAGCUUUCUGGAUCAUUACUGACACUGAGGAACGAAAGCAUGGGUAGCGAAGAGGAUUAGAUACCCUCGUAGUCCAUGCCGUAAACGAUGUGUGUUAGACGUUGG
This 773-nucleotide ribosomal RNA is filed under the name uncultured bacterium. RNAcentral's name for it is "bacterial SSU rRNA". It matches the Rfam family "Bacterial small subunit ribosomal RNA", at positions 8 to 826 of the family's 1533-position model. The record is from RNAcentral.